Long non-coding RNA from Medicago truncatula (barrel medic), 594 nucleotides. RefSeq lists it as uncharacterized. Lineage: Eukaryota; Viridiplantae; Streptophyta; Magnoliopsida; Fabales; Fabaceae. The record is from RefSeq and is a predicted model, not a curated record. The transcript has 2 exons.
GGAUGAGUUUAAUAAGUGUGCUAAAGGAAAAGCACAACUCUUGAUGUACUUACGAGACAUUUUCUUAGACCAACUACAAUGAGGGUGUUGAAAGCCAUAUUCAAUAAGCAAACCAUUGGAGAGGGGGGUGUUGAAAGUGAGCUGGAGGAAAGAGAUGAUGAAUAUAUUCAAUAGGUUGAAUUCUGACGCCGGAAGCCACAUGGCGCGCUCGGAUUGGCUCAUUUUUUGCGCGGCGCGUGUAUGCCGACAAGGUGCGUCGGUUGCAGUUGGACGCGGAGAGAGAAUCUGUUUUGGAUAGAUGCUGCCACACGUCGCUUUCUGGCCGUAAAUGUAAACAAAAUUCUGAUUGUUCAAAGGAGAUAUGUGUGUUUCCUUGGAAACCUACGUGUGUAGAGCCAUAUUUUUUGAUGAUCCUUAUAAAAAGAUAUAAUUAUUGUACAUGUACGUGAGCGAUGUGCCCCCCAAGAUUACGCUACAAAAUACAAUAAUUUGAAUUUUAUCUUUUUAUAUUUUCAAGGACCGUGUAUUAUGGCUUUGUACUCUAAGAUGAGAGGAAUGAAACGAAAUAAGGAAUAAAAUAAUAUUAUUUAGAUU